RNAcentral lists this ribosomal RNA (305 nucleotides) under uncultured bacterium. RNAcentral describes it as "bacterial SSU rRNA". It matches the Rfam family "Bacterial small subunit ribosomal RNA", at positions 338 to 658 of the family's 1533-position model. The record is from RNAcentral.
CCUACGGGGGGCAGCAGUCGGGAAUAUUGCGCAAUGGAGGAAACUCUGACGCAGUGACGCCGCGUAUGGGAAGAAGGUUUUCGGAUUGUAAACCAUUGUCGUUAGGGAAGAAGAAGUGACAGUACCUAAGGAGGAAGCUCCGGCUAACUAUGUGCCAGCAGCCGCGGUAAUACGUAGGGGGCAAGCGUUAUCCGGAUUUACUGGGUGUAAAGGGAGCGUAGACGGCAUAGCAAGUCUGAAGUGAAAGCCCGUGGCUCAACCGCGGAACUGCUUUGGAAACUGUUAAGCUGGAGUACUGGAGAGGG